RNAcentral lists this ribosomal RNA (542 nucleotides) under uncultured bacterium. Its description in RNAcentral is "bacterial SSU rRNA". It matches the Rfam family "Bacterial small subunit ribosomal RNA", at positions 45 to 582 of the family's 1533-position model. The record is from RNAcentral.
UGCCUUACACAUGCAAGUCGAACGGCAGCACGGGGGCAACCCUGGUGGCGAGUGGCGAACGGGUGAGUAAUACAUCGGAACGUGCCCUGAAGUGGGGGAUAACGUAGCGAAAGUUACGCUAAUACCGCAUAUUCUGUGAGCAGGAAAGCAGGGGAUCGCAAGACCUUGUGCUUUAGGAGCGGCCGAUGUCGGAUUAGCUAGUUGGUGAGGUAAAGGCUCACCAAGGCGACGAUCCGUAGCGGGUCUGAGAGGAUGAUCCGCCACACUGGGACUGAGACACGGCCCAGACUCCUACGGGAGGCAGCAGUGGGGAAUUUUGGACAAUGGGCGCAAGCCUGAUCCAGCCAUGCCGCGUGAGUGAAGAAGGCCUUCGGGUUGUAAAGCUCUUUCGGCGGGGAAGAAAUUGCUUCGGCUAAUAUCCGGAGUAGAUGACGGUACCCGCAUAAGAAGCACCGGCUAACUACGUGCCAGCAGCCGCGGUAAUACGUAGGGUGCGAGCGUUAAUCGGAAUUACUGGGCGUAAAGCGUGCGCAGGCGGUUGU